AUUGAACGCUGGCGGCAGGCCUAACACAUGCAAGUCGAAUGGUAACAGGAAACAGCUUGCUGUUUCGCUGACGAGUGGCGGACGGGUGAGUAAUGUCUGGGAAACUGCCUGAUGGAGGGGGAUAACUACUGGGAACGGUAGCUAAUACCGCAUAACGUCGCAAGACCAAAGAGGGGGACCUUCGGGCCUCUUGCCAUCAGAUGUGCCCAGAUGGGAUUAGCUAGUAGGUGGGGUAACGGCUCACCUAGGCGACGAUCCCUAGCUGGUCUGAGAGGAUGACCAGCCACACUGGAACUGAGACACGGUCCAGACUCCUACGGGAGGCAGCAGUGGGGAAUAUUGCACAAUGGGCGCAAGCCUGAUGCAGCCAUGCCGCGUGUAUGAAGAAGGCCUUCGGGUUGUAAAGUACUUUCAGCGGGGAGGAAGGGAGUAAAGUUAAUACCUUUGCUCAUUGACGUACCCGCA
Molecule: ribosomal RNA, 465 nt
Filed under: Escherichia coli
Lineage: Bacteria; Pseudomonadati; Pseudomonadota; Gammaproteobacteria; Enterobacterales; Enterobacteriaceae
Description: bacterial SSU rRNA
Rfam family: Bacterial small subunit ribosomal RNA
Source: RNAcentral